CCUACGGGAGACAGCAGUGAGGAAUAUUGGUCAAUGGCCGGAAGGCUGAACCAGCCAAGCCGCGUGAAGGACGAAGGUGCCAAGCAUUGUAAACUUCUUUUGUCAAGGGACAAAAUCAGGCUCGAGAGCCUGACCGAGGGUACUUGAAGAAAAAGCAUCGGCUAACUCCGUGCCAGCAGCCGCGGUAAUACGGAGGAUGCGAGCGUUAUCCGGAUUGAUUGGGUUUAAAGGGUGCGUAGGCGGACUGUUAAGUCAGCGGUAAAAGCCCGGGGCUCAACCCCGGCGAGCCGUUGAAAAUGGCUGUCUUGAGAUGUCGAGAGGUAUGCGGAAUGCGCAGUGUAGCGGUGAAAUGCUUAGAUAUUGCGCAGAACUCCGAUUGCGAAGGCAGCAUACCGGCGGCGAUCUGACGCUGAGGCACGAAAGCGUGGGUAUCGAACAGGAUUAGAUACCCCAGUAGUC
This 459-nucleotide ribosomal RNA is filed under the name uncultured bacterium. Its description in RNAcentral is "partial 16S ribosomal RNA". It matches the Rfam family "Bacterial small subunit ribosomal RNA", at positions 338 to 795 of the family's 1533-position model. The record is from RNAcentral.